Acanthosepion pharaonis is the source of this 99-nucleotide non-coding RNA. Lineage: Eukaryota; Metazoa; Mollusca; Cephalopoda; Sepiida; Sepiidae. The record is from the annotation of a GenBank genome assembly.
UUGAAACAGCGGUUCCCAUAAGAUCACUAAAGUUAAGUAACGUCGAACCUGGUCAGUACCAAGUUGGGCGACGGCUUGAGAACACCAGAUGCUGUAAGC